ACACCACCGACGCGGCGACCACCUAGGGAGGGAGCCGUCGAAGGUGGGGCCCGUGAUUGGGGUG
This 64-nucleotide ribosomal RNA is filed under the name uncultured bacterium. RNAcentral's name for it is "partial 16S ribosomal RNA". The record is from RNAcentral.